This 2251-nucleotide ribosomal RNA is filed under the name Escherichia coli. RNAcentral's name for it is "partial 23S ribosomal RNA". It matches the Rfam family "Bacterial large subunit ribosomal RNA", at positions 612 to 2843 of the family's 2925-position model. Lineage: Bacteria; Pseudomonadati; Pseudomonadota; Gammaproteobacteria; Enterobacterales; Enterobacteriaceae. The record is from RNAcentral.
AUAAUGGGUCAGCGACUUAUAUUCUGUAGCAAGGUUAACCGAAUAGGGGAGCCGAAGGGAAACCGAGUCUUAACUGGGCGUUAAGUUGCAGGGUAUAGACCCGAAACCCGGUGAUCUAGCCAUGGGCAGGUUGAAGGUUGGGUAACACUAACUGGAGGACCGAACCGACUAAUGUUGAAAAAUUAGCGGAUGACUUGUGGCUGGGGGUGAAAGGCCAAUCAAACCGGGAGAUAGCUGGUUCUCCCCGAAAGCUAUUUAGGUAGCGCCUCGUGAAUUCAUCUCCGGGGGUAGAGCACUGUUUCGGCAAGGGGGUCAUCCCGACUUACCAACCCGAUGCAAACUGCGAAUACCGGAGAAUGUUAUCACGGGAGACACACGGCGGGUGCUAACGUCCGUCGUGAAGAGGGAAACAACCCAGACCGCCAGCUAAGGUCCCAAAGUCAUGGUUAAGUGGGAAACGAUGUGGGAAGGCCCAGACAGCCAGGAUGUUGGCUUAGAAGCAGCCAUCAUUUAAAGAAAGCGUAAUAGCUCACUGGUCGAGUCGGCCUGCGCGGAAGAUGUAACGGGGCUAAACCAUGCACCGAAGCUGCGGCAGCGACGCUGAUGCGUUGUUGGGUAGGGGAGCGUUCUGUAAGCCUGUGAAGGUGUGCUGUGAGGCAUGCUGGAGGUAUCAGAAGUGCGAAUGCUGACAUAAGUAACGAUAAAGCGGGUGAAAAGCCCGCUCGCCGGAAGACCAAGGGUUCCUGUCCAACGUUAAUCGGGGCAGGGUGAGUCGACCCCUAAGGCGAGGCCGAAAGGCGUAGUUGAUGGGAAACAGGUUAAUAUUCCUGUACUUGGUGUUACUGCGAAGGGGGGACGGAGAAGGCUAUGUUGGCCGGGCGACGGUUGUCCCGGUUUAAGCGUGUAGGCUGGUUUUCCAGGCAAAUCCGGAAAACUAAGGCUGAGGCGUGAUGACGAGGCACUACGGUGCUGAAGCAACAAAUGCCCUGCUUCCAGGAAAAGCCUCUAAGCAUCAGGUAACAUCAAAUCGUACCCCAAACCGACACAGGUGGUCAGGUAGAGAAUACCAAGGCGCUUGAGAGAACUCGGGUGAAGGAACUAGGCAAAAUGGUGCCGUAACUUCGGGAGAAGGCACGCUGAUAUGUAGGUGAAGUCCCUCGCGGAUGGAGCUGAAAUCAGUCGAAGAUACCAGCUGGCUGCAACUGUUUAUUAAAAACACAGCACUGUGCAAACACGAAAGUGGACGUAUACGGUGUGACGCCUGCCCGGUGCCGGAAGGUUAAUUGAUGGGGUCAGCGCAAGCGAAGCUCUUGAUCGAAGCCCCGGUAAACGGCGGCCGUAACUAUAACGGUCCUAAGGUAGCGAAAUUCCUUGUCGGGUAAGUUCCGACCUGCACGAAUGGCGUAAUGAUGGCCAGGCUGUCUCCACCCGAGACUCAGUGAAAUUGAACUCGCUGUGAAGAUGCAGUGUACCCGCGGCAAGACGGAAAGACCCCGUGAACCUUUACUAUAGCUUGACACUGAACAUUGAGCCUUGAUGUGUAGGAUAGGUGGGAGGCUUUGAAGUGUGGACGCCAGUCUGCAUGGAGCCGACCUUGAAAUACCACCCUUUAAUGUUUGAUGUUCUAACGUUGACCCGUAAUCCGGGUUGCGGACAGUGUCUGGUGGGUAGUUUGACUGGGGCGGUCUCCUCCUAAAGAGUAACGGAGGAGCACGAAGGUUGGCUAAUCCUGGUCGGACAUCAGGAGGUUAGUGCAAUGGCAUAAGCCAGCUUGACUGCGAGCGUGACGGCGCGAGCAGGUGCGAAAGCAGGUCAUAGUGAUCCGGUGGUUCUGAAUGGAAGGGCCAUCGCUCAACGGAUAAAAGGUACUCCGGGGAUAACAGGCUGAUACCGCCCAAGAGUUCAUAUCGACGGCGGUGUUUGGCACCUCGAUGUCGGCUCAUCACAUCCUGGGGCUGAAGUAGGUCCCAAGGGUAUGGCUGUUCGCCAUUUAAAGUGGUACGCGAGCUGGGUUUAGAACGUCGUGAGACAGUUCGGUCCCUAUCUGCCGUGGGCGCUGGAGAACUGAGGGGGGCUGCUCCUAGUACGAGAGGACCGGAGUGGACGCAUCACUGGUGUUCGGGUUGUCAUGCCAAUGGCACUGCCCGGUAGCUAAAUGCGGAAGAGAUAAGUGCUGAAAGCAUCUAAGCACGAAACUUGCCCCGAGAUGAGUUCUCCCUGACUCCUUGAGAGUCCUGAAGGAACGUUGAAG